Molecule: transfer RNA, 73 nt
Filed under: Pelodiscus sinensis (Chinese soft-shelled turtle)
Lineage: Eukaryota; Metazoa; Chordata; Testudines; Trionychidae
Rfam family: tRNA
About the family: Transfer RNA (tRNA) molecules are approximately 80 nucleotides in length. Their secondary structure includes four short double-helical elements and three loops (D, anti-codon, and T loops).
Source: Rfam by way of RNAcentral
GGAAGAAUGGUCUAGCUGAUAAAAUGCUGGGCUGGGAACCCAGGAGGCCCGGGUUUAGUUCCCACUUCUGCCA